UACGGAGGGUGCAAGCGUUAUCCGGAUUCACUGGGUUUAAAGGGAGCGUAGGCGGGCGUGUAAGUCAGUGGUGAAAUCCCCGAGCUUAACUUGGGAACUGCCAUUGAUACUAUACGUCUUGAAUUCUGUGGAGGUAAGCGGAAUAUAUCAUGUAGCGGUGAAAUGCUUAGAUAUGAUAUAGAACACCGAUAGCGAAGGCAGCUUACUACGCAGAUAUUGACGCUGAGGCUCGAAAGCGUGGGGAUCAAACAGG
Molecule: ribosomal RNA, 253 nt
Filed under: uncultured bacterium
Lineage: Bacteria
Description: partial 16S ribosomal RNA
Rfam family: Bacterial small subunit ribosomal RNA
Source: RNAcentral